GACGAACGCUGGCGGCGUGCUUAACACAUGCAAGUCGAACGCUGAAGCUUGGUGCUUGCACUGGGUGGAUGAGUGGCGAACGGGUGAGUAAUACGUGAGUAACCUGCCCUUGACUCUGGGAUAAGCCUGGGAAACUGGGUCUAAUACUGGAUACGACAUGCCACUGCAUGGUGGUGUGUGGAAAGGGGUUUACUGGUUUUGGAUGGGCUCACGGCCUAUCAGCUUGUUGGUGGGGUAAUGGCCUACCAAGGCGACGACGGGUAGCCGGCCUGAGAGGGUGACCGGCCACCAUGGGACUGAGACACGGACCAGACUCCUACGGGAGGCAGCAGUGGGGAAUAUUGCACAAUGGGCGGAAGCCUGAUGCAGCGACGCCGCGUGCGGGAUGACGGCCUUCGGGUUGUAAACCUAUUUCAGCGCGGAAGAAGCGAGAGUGACGGUACGUGCAGAAGAAGCGCCGGCUAACUACGUG
This 472-nucleotide ribosomal RNA is filed under the name uncultured bacterium. RNAcentral's name for it is "partial 16S ribosomal RNA". It matches the Rfam family "Bacterial small subunit ribosomal RNA", at positions 28 to 507 of the family's 1533-position model. The record is from RNAcentral.